This 4645-nucleotide long non-coding RNA is filed under the name Nicotiana tabacum (common tobacco). RNAcentral describes it as "long non-coding RNA (NTAB_LNC001802)". Lineage: Eukaryota; Viridiplantae; Streptophyta; Magnoliopsida; Solanales; Solanaceae. The record is from RNAcentral.
ACAGUUAAAGAAAUUCUCGAAAAUUUAACAGUUAAGGGAGCCCUCGGCUCAGAACAAGGUAAACAUAGUGGGGAAACUCCCGGGAUACCGUCCCGUAGUUCCAAAUAAAUAUGCAGUACAUGGGGGAUCUCCCGGAAUACGUUCGUAGUCCCAAAGUAAAUAUGCACUGCUGGGGGAUCUCCGAAAUACGUCUGUAGUCCCAAAGUAAAUAUGCAAUGCUGGGGGAUCUCCCGGAAUACGUCCGUAGUCCCAAAGUAAAUAUGCAGUACAGGAGGAUCUCCCGAAAUACGUCCUUAGUCCCAAAGUAAAUAUGCAGUACAGGGAGAUCUCCCGAAAUACGUCUGUAGUCCCAAUUUAAAUAUGCAAUGCAAGAUGAAAUGGCAGGUAAGUCAUCGAGUUAUACAGUUUAUACUGGACACAGAUAAGGGAAAUAGGGACUUAAUUAAGCAUGAUGCACAGAAUGUCAAUUAGGCAGUUAAAACACGUAAGCAUGCUUCUCUAAUCUACGUUUAACAAUUAAACGUAUCAGUGCAAUUAAAUAAGGAAAAACAGUUUAUGAUUUAGAAAGGAAAAACGGGAUUUUUGCAAUAAUAGCAUGUGUACGUACUCGUCACCUCACGUACACGGCGCCCACACAUCAAUUAAUAUCAAACAUCCUAAGGGAAAGUCCCCAACACAAGAUUAGGCAAGCAACUUACCUCGAACCGCUCAAAUCAACUCGAUAUCACGUUCUUGCCACGAGUAUCCGACUCCAAAUGGCCCGAAUCUAUUCAAAUUAAUUGCAUAAUGUAAAUAUAACUAAAAGUAAUUAAUUUAGCUAAUUAAUUCGAAGCUAAAGCGUGAAAUUAGAAAAAAUGUCCAAAAUAUCUCCCUAGGCCCACGUCUCGAAAUCGGGUAAAAAUUACAAAAUACGAACACCCAUUCACUCACGAGUCUAACCAUAUAAAAAUUUCUCAAAUCCAACCACAAAUCCCCCUUCAAAACUCGAAAUCUUUGUUGGAGAAGUUCUUCCAAAUUUUUCCUAAUUUCAACCCCAAAAUCCGAAAAUAAAUGAUGCAAUCAACCAUAGAUUAGUAGAAUAUAAACAUAAAGGAGUUAGGAAUCAUUACCCAAAAACUUCCUCCGAAAAUCUCUCCAAAUUUCACCUUCUACCGAGCUCUCAAUCAAAUUUUUGUGUUAUGAACUCAACCCUAGUUUUAGAACCUUAAAUUCUGCCCAGGUGCAUUCUUCUUCGCGAACGCGACAUCACGAUCGCGAACGCGAUGAACAAUCUUCCACUGGCCCAAAAUUCCUCUUUCGCGAACGCGAGGGGACUCUCGCGAACGCGUACCUUCCACUGACGGACCUUUCGCGAACGCGGGAACCUCUUCGCAAAUGCGUAGGCUUAAUGCCCGAAGCUUCCUCUGCCUCGUUCCUCUACGGGAACGCGAGGACCAUAUCGCGAACACGUAGGCUUAAGGUCCCACACCUUCGCGAACGCGGGAACAACAUCGCGAACGCGAAGAACAACUUCGCUGCCUUUCCCAUAAGCUCUACGCAAUCGCGAGGCACCUCUCGCGAAUGCGAUGAAGGAUUUUUCUGCAAUAAAACACCAGAAAUCUGCUACUUCUCUAAGUCCCAAGAUGACUCGUUGAGCAUCCGAAACACACCCGAGGCCCCCGGGACCUCGACCAAACAUACCAACCAAUCCCAAAAUAUCAUACGAACUUAGUCGAGCUCUCAAAUCACAUCAAACAACGCUAAAAUCACGAAUCACCCUCCAAUUCAAACUUAAAGAACUUGAAAUUUCAAAAUUAUACAACUGAUGCCGAAACCUAUCAAAUCACGUCCGAUUGACCUCAAAUUUUGCGCACAAGUCAUAAUCAACAUUACGAACCUACUCCAACUUCCGGAAUCGAAAAACAACCCCGAUAUCAAAAAUUCCACUACCAGCCCAAAACUCCAAAAAUUCAACUUUCGCCAUUUCAAGCCUAAAUGAGCUACGAACCUCCAAAACACAAUCCGAAUACGUCCCUACACCCAAAAUCACCUAACGGAGCUAACGUAACCGGCGAAAUUUCAUUCUGUAGUCGUCUUUGAAUUUCCGGAGUCGUCUUCACACAGUUCCGACUACGGUCCAAAUCCUAAGGUUUAAGCUCUCAUUUAGGGACUAAGUGUCCCAAAACACUCCGAAACUCAAAACCAAUCAUCCCGACAAGUCACAAUACCAGAAAUAGAUAUGGGGAAAGCAGUUAAUAGAGGUUCAGGGCUCUAACUCUCAAAAUGACCGGCCGGGUCGCUAUAAUCUGGCAAUCACAUUAAAAGUUAUAGUUGUACUUUAACCCUGAAUCUGGCAUAACAACUAGCCUUAAUCGUUUUAUUACUUUGUUUAAUUAAUUCGCUAGUAGCAUGUUUAGGCCGACAACACUCGGGUAGGAAAACUUUAGGUCUUUUUUUUUCUUUUAUUCGAAGUGAGAGGUCGUUCCCUUUAGUUUAUAUUCAGGGGAAUGCCCUAUAGACUUUAUAAAUAUUUUUAUCAGGGGAAUGCCCCGAAGUGAAUGUAACUGGAGGCCGUGACGGACAUCGUGGAGUGAGCAUAUCAUAGAAUUUAGUAUUUUCAUCUUAUUUUACUUUCUCUUAUUUAGGUGGGGACAACCUCGAGCCUCUUGUGUGUUUAUUUUUCUUUCGUGUAUUUUUUUUUACCUCAAUUCAAAUAUUCUUUAAAGCCAAUUUGAUCAUGUAUGCAACCGUACUAGUUACGGGACUCGGAGAAUGCCUAACACCUUCUCCUCGAGUCAAAUGAACCCCCUUACUUGGAACUUCUGGUGCAGGCAGUUUUAGAGUCAAAUGUGUUCUAAAGGAAAAUUAUUAUUUUAAAAAAUGGUGACCUGGCACACCGAAACCAAAUGUCAGGUGGCGACUCUGAAAAAUCCUUUGAAACACAGUCUUUUGUCACUUUUCAAAUUGAAUAACCCUUUCGAGCUUUAAAAUCACCUUUACUAUUUUAAAGGGGUUGUUAAGGAGGAAAAAAAGGGGUGUGAUAGCUUUGGCGACUCUGCUGGGGAAACACUCAACCCUCUUAAAAAAGAUAUAAAGAAGAUUUUUAAAGCUCAAAAGGGUUUUAAUUUGAAAAGUGACAAAAGAUUGUGUUUUAAAAGAUUGUUCAGAGUCGCCACCUGCAUUUGAUUUCGGUGUGUCAGGUCACCGUUUAAAAAUAAUUUUUCUUUUAAAACAUGUUUGACUCUAAAACUAACUGCACCAGAGAUUCUAGAAAAGGGGGUUCAUUUGACUCAGGAAAAAGGUGUUAGACAUUUCCUGAGUCCCGUGAAGGUCACGGUUGCGUACAUGAUCAAGUCGGCUUUUACAAUAUUCGAAUUGAGGUCAAAACACAGAAAAAGAAAAAUAAACACAAAAGAGGCUCGAGGUCGUCCCUACCUAAUAAAAGAAAAAUAAGAGAAAAGAAAAUAAAGUACUAAGAGAAAAUAUGCUAAGAGUUCUAAUCUAUCCUACACUAUGCUUCCUCCACGAUCUAGCCUCGGCCACCAUUUACAUUCACUUCGAAGCAUACCCCGGAUAAAAAUAUAUACAAACUCUUCGGGACAUUCCCCUGGUGCAUUAAUUGACUAAAGGGGCGACAUCUUACCUCAAAAGAAACUGAAACACGAACGUCCUAAAGGUUUGCCUACCCAAAUGUGGUCGGCCUAAACAUGCUACUAGCGAUCAAAAUGAUGAAAUAAAAGUAAAAUUAAUACUAAACCCAAUUCAUAUGUGUAAACUGUGACCAAAGCUCAAACCCGUUUAAUUCUCACAAUUAACCAGAUUCCUAUCUCAUCCAAAAUCACUCCCACGACCCAACUAAUGUCCAUUCCUUUAUCCUUCUAUAAUUAAUGAAUUGAUGUUCUGUCUUCAUUAACUACCCAUCACAUACAUGGAAUUAACUGAAUAGAGUAAUCAACCAACCAUUUAGAAGCAAACCAAAGAGUUAAAUGGUAAACAACGAAGAAUAUAAUGCUCGCCUCUUUAUCUUAGCUAAUACAGUAAUAUUUCAAGUCUAAAACCAGUUGGAUUCCUAGCGAAGAAGGCGAAAUCAUUCGAACUCACUUAACUAUAACUCAUGAAUUACUUACGUAGCAAAACAACGAAGAAGCAAUCGAAACAAAAACAGAUAUUAGAAAUAAGAAAACAUAAAUAGAAAUCAAGUAGGAUUAGUGAAGAAAAAUUAACCUCAGCAAGCUUUCCUUUCUAUUAACGAGAAUUCAGUUACAACGAACCCGGCGAUUGAAAUCUGGCUGAAAAACGCAGCAGCAGGAGAUUGAUCCGUGGACCAUGAAAAUAACCUCGAACGGCAUCAACGGAUUGAACCUUACCGGAAAAUCAAAUAAUCGACGCGAUCCGAAAUCCGACGAACUGAACACGAUCUCUUAGAAUUCAAUUUGCCGUCACUGUACUGCCGAAACUACUACUUUUCUUGACUUUUAGGAUUGAAUAUAAAUACUACUCCUCUCCUAAUCCAAUUUGUUCAUGGUAAGGUAAACCAAUGAAUAUUGGAAAGCCCCAACUAGGUUGCUGUUGUCAAACCCAUCAAAUUCUUUUUGUAUCGUCCUUCUUCUGUUGCUAGGGAUUUUCUCAAUCCCUGCCGAUUUUUAGGAAGAUGAGGGUCUGGCCG